This is a long non-coding RNA of Gallus gallus (chicken), 1560 nucleotides long. Lineage: Eukaryota; Metazoa; Chordata; Aves; Galliformes; Phasianidae. The record is from Ensembl.
ACUCACAUCUAAUCCACAACAGUGCUUUACUAGUCAGCCCUCGGGUCCUUAGUUUCCUUAGUAGCCUCUUGUUAGGGACUUUGUCCAAAGCCUUUCUGCAUGUCUAUAUGAAUUAUGUCAACCAGUUCUCCCUUAUUCACCAGUCUGUUGACCUGUUCCCAAGAGUCUGUUAUAGAGAUGUGAAUUUCCUUUACAGAAACCGCCUUGGCUCAUCUGUAUCAUAUCAAGUAGUUGUUACAGAUUUCUAUUUUAAAUAAUCUCUUCAUUCAGCCUGCCCAGCGCUUAAUUAAGCCUUGCUGAUUUGCAAUAUGCAGGAUGAACAUUUCCAAAGAGGCAGCCUUGGAGGCUUCCCAUAGAGCAGCUGAUUUGAGCAGGAUUAUCACUUUUUUGUCAGUUGCUCGGCCACGUCUUUCUCACUGCAGGAAAAAAAGAAAUUGUUCCUAAGGCGGAGCAAGCGGAAACCAAUACAAUUAAAUACUUUGCUUUGCCUGCCAAGGACAUUUGACUGCUACUGUGCUACAUCAGACAGCUCUUUGAGUCUAUCACUGCGAGAUGCUUCCUUUGCACCUCGGACUACUUCUGUGGCUCUUUACAAGGACAACGUUCAUAUCAGAAUUCCAUGCAGUGCUGACUCCCGUCCUGGCUUUGCAUAAGGGUGGAAAUACCCUUCCUGGUGCUAUGUGCUGCCUUAGAGGACAGCAGGGGACCUCCAGCCAAACCCCCAUGUGACGGCCUGUUUUGAAGCAUUAUCCAGCAUGACCCCUCUGGCCUUCUCAAGGUCCUUUCCAGGAUUUUGCACUCCUGAUUCCCAUGUAAGGUUGCAUUCUACUGACUUCUCUAUGCCGUGGAGCAAGCUCAUUGUCCCUGACCAUGGAUAUAUUAGUAUGGGUGGAGUGCAUUGUACUCCGAUGAUACUUCUAUGCUAGCAAAUGCCUUUUUAAUACCAAUGUAAGUACUUACCACAGCUCUAGACCUUCCUGUUGUGGCAAAUAAUCUCCAUUUCUUAGGACUGCAUCUCUGUUGGAUCUCACUUUCCCCUGGCAUUUCCCUUUCCAUAGUCACACUGUGCCCCUUGUGGUGUGCUGUUUGGGAAUCUUCUGAGAAAAGGUGCUAUAUAAAUGCAAAACAUUGUCAUUGUUUGUCGUGGCACCCCCUGUUGUAUCUGCUUUCCUUCUGCUAAUUGAUUAGCUGUUGUCUAGACUGGAGCUCAUUACAUGGAGUGCUGAGGCUCAGCAUCAUUUACUUUGCAGCUAAGUCAAUCUGUGAAACAAGUGGUAGGCUCCGAAUUGGAUAAGGAACAGGUUCUUUAGAUGUAAAUGGCUUAGAAAGGGAAAAUAAAAGCUGAACUAGGUAAUGAACGGAAAUGGAACGGCCAUCCUCGAAUCCACAAAUACCAUUGACCUUUCUCAGAUUUACAUCAUUAUCUAAAGUUCACCAGAGACCUUGCAUGCUUGUUAUCAUUAUCCCUCAUUAGAAGUCACUCUAGAAACAUUAACAAGCUUCUGAAAUGCUUGGCUAAUUGCUCUAAUAAGGCAAUAUCAAUACUAAGUGAUAGUUCCC